CGCGUAGGCGGUCUCUUAAGUCAGAUGUGAAAGCCCGGGGCUUAACCUCGGAAGUGCAUUUGAAACUAAGGGACUUGAGUAUGGGAGAGGGAAGUGGAAUUCCUGGUGUAGCGGUGAGAUGCGUAGAUAUCAGGAGGAACACCGGUGGCGAAGGCGACUUCCUGGACCAAUACUGACGCUGAGGCGCGAAGGCGUGGGGAGCAAACAGGGUUAGAUACCCUGGUAGUCC
Molecule: ribosomal RNA, 229 nt
Filed under: uncultured bacterium
Lineage: Bacteria
Description: partial 16S ribosomal RNA
Rfam family: Bacterial small subunit ribosomal RNA
Source: RNAcentral